CGUAACGAUUCGGUAUCGUGUACGGGGCCAACCACGCGUAUGGAAUCUACCUUGUACAGGGGGAUAGCCCAGAGAAAUUUGGAUUAAUACCCCAUAGUAUUAUGAAAAGGCAUCACUUUGAGAUCGGCUUACCGUACAAGAUGAGCAUGCGUCCCAUUAGCUAGAUGGUGAGGUAACGGCUCACCAUGGCAACGAUGGGUAGGGGUCCUGAGACCCAGGGAGAUCCCCCACACUGGUACUGAGACACGGACCAGACUCCUACGGGAGGCAGCAGUGAGGAAUAUUGGGCAAUGGUCGCAAGGCUGAACCAGCCAUGCCGCGUGCAGGAUGACGCUUCUAUGGUGUGUAAACUGCUUUUGUACAGGAAGAAACACUCCCUUGCGAGGGAGCUUGACGGUACUGUAAGAAUAAGGAUCGGCUAACUCCGUGCCAGCAGCCGCGGUAAUACGGAGGAUCCAAGCGUUAUCCGGAAUCAUUGGGUUUAAAGGGUCCGUAGGCGGUUUUAUAAGUCAGUGGUGAAAUCUGGUCGCUCAACGAUCAAACGGCCAUUGAUACUGUAAGACUUGAAUUACUUGGAAGUAACUAGAAUAUGUAGUGUAGCGGUGAAAUGCUUAGAGAUUACAUGGAAUACCAAUUGCGAAGGCAGGUUACUACGAGUAUAUUGACGCUGAUGGACGAAACGUGGGGAGGCGAACAGGAUUAGAUACCCUGGUAGUCCACGCCGUAAACGAUGGAUACUAGCUGUUUGGGGCAACCUGAGUGGCUAAGCGAAAGUGAUAAGUAUCCCACCUGGGGAGUACGCUCGCAAGAGUGAAACUCAAAGGAAUUGACGGGGGCCCGCACAAGCGGAGGAGCAUGUGGUUUAAUUCGAUGAUACGCGAGGAACCUUACCAAGGCUUAAAUGGGAAACGACAGAUUUGGAAACAGACCUUUCUUCGGACGUUUUUCAAGGUGCUGCAUGGUUGUCGUCAGCUCGUGCCGUGAGGUGUCAGGUUAAGUCCUAUAACGAGCGCAACCCCUGUUGUUAGUUGCCAUCGAGUAAGGUCGGGAACUCUAACAAGACUGCCGGUGCAAACCGUGAGGAAGGUGGGGAUGACGUCAAAUCAUCACGGCCCUUACGCCUUGGGCUACACACGUGCUACAAUGGACGGUACAGAGAGCAGCCACUACGCAAGUAGGCGCGAAUCUACAAAACCGUUCUCAGUUCGGAUCGGAGUCUGCAACUCGACUCCGUGAAGCUGGAUUCGCUAGUAAUCGCAGAUCAGCCAUGCUGCGGUGAAUACGUUCCCGGGCCUUGUACACACCGCCCGUACAGUUCGGGC
RNAcentral lists this ribosomal RNA (1322 nucleotides) under Flavobacterium columnare. RNAcentral's name for it is "bacterial SSU rRNA". It matches the Rfam family "Bacterial small subunit ribosomal RNA", at positions 81 to 1408 of the family's 1533-position model. The record is from RNAcentral. Lineage: Bacteria; Pseudomonadati; Bacteroidota; Flavobacteriia; Flavobacteriales; Flavobacteriaceae.